Non-coding RNA from Lonchura striata (white-rumped munia), 226 nucleotides. NCBI's taxonomy places the organism in Eukaryota, Metazoa, Chordata, Aves, Passeriformes, Estrildidae. The record is from RefSeq and is a predicted model, not a curated record.
AAGCUGGGGUCUCACCCCAUGGGCUGGGAUGCUGCCUAAGACAACUCCUGGAGAGCCCCCACCUGACUGGGCUCAGACUGCUUCCAGACACCCAGUGAAACUCAAACCCAUUGCCACAAGGAAAAGCAGAAUUCCUCAGACUUGGGGUCAUGAACUGAGCUCGUCAAUGUGAAUCCCAGAAGCAGAAAGACUUGUCCUUUUGCCAUUAUCUAAUAAAGGUAUUGUG